RNAcentral lists this long non-coding RNA (246 nucleotides) under Nicotiana benthamiana. RNAcentral describes it as "long non-coding RNA (NBEN_LNC001417)". Lineage: Eukaryota; Viridiplantae; Streptophyta; Magnoliopsida; Solanales; Solanaceae. The record is from RNAcentral.
UUGCUUCAAAUUCUGAUGGUCAUUUGUCUGUUCCUCAAGGGAAUCCUGCUGCCAACCAUGAACCUGUCUCAAAAACAGAUGGUCAGUCUUCUGUGAUACCUGGGUUGAGCAGUCAACAUUAUGAUCAACUGAUGAAUCUUUUACAACAAACCCAACUAGGGGUUCCAAUGCUCCAAACUCUUCUCCCAUGUGUGCUGUUAAUUUUGCUGGUACUAUGCUAACUGAGAGCCCAGUUUCUGAUUCCAA